AUGGAAGGCUCCGUCUCGGAUGUUGAGGAAGUGAAACUACUGAAGGAUGUCAAGGGGAAGAUGGAAGAUGCUGUGGUGGAGGCACCAGACUGGCUCCCAGAUGGUUGGAUCAUGGAGGUCCAAUGUGGCGACAAUGGUACUCUAUAUAAGUAUUUCAUUUCUCCAGUGUCAGGGGCCAAAUUCAGGAUGAAGCCUGAGGUCCUGAACUACCUUUUCUCCGAGAUGGAUGAGCACUACUUAGAAGCCAAAGAUAGUGUUGAUCAUAAGAUGCUUCCUAAGUCACAUGAAUGGCUUCCAAAAGGGUGGUUGCUUGAGAUCAGAGCGGGCGGAGAAAAUAUGGACAAGAUGUACAAGAUCCUUGCAGAAGUGGAGUUCAACCCAUCUGGGCUACCAGAUGGAUGGGUGAAAGAAAUGGUGUACCGAAAAACAUUGAAAGGAACAAGGAAAGACCCGUACUACACAGACCCUGUUAGCAGUUAUGCAUUCAGGACAUUGACGUCCGCAGUUCGCUUCCUUCAAACAGGAAACAUUACAAAACGUUCGUUUAUUCAAAGGACAAGUGUACAUGAAUUGUACAAUUUUGAGAAGUCUGCUGAUCUGCAUGAGAGUUUGCGCAAAAGACUGACAAAAAAUGUGAUGAAUGAUAAAACAAAUCCAAGUCCUUCGAGACCUAGAAGAUCAAAAAAAGUGAAAAAGAUAGAUAUGCAUGAGCAAAAUUCAGGUAUUCUUAAGUUCCUCCAGCCGUCGCUGCUGUGA
RNAcentral lists this ribosomal RNA (756 nucleotides) under Triticum aestivum (bread wheat). RNAcentral describes it as "partial small subunit ribosomal RNA". Lineage: Eukaryota; Viridiplantae; Streptophyta; Magnoliopsida; Poales; Poaceae. The record is from RNAcentral.